RNAcentral lists this ribosomal RNA (508 nucleotides) under uncultured bacterium. RNAcentral's name for it is "bacterial SSU rRNA". It matches the Rfam family "Bacterial small subunit ribosomal RNA", at positions 15 to 518 of the family's 1533-position model. The record is from RNAcentral.
GAUCAUGGCGUCAGGAUGAACGCUGGCGGCGUGCCUACCACAUGCAAGUCGACGGGUAAGUGAAUUUCGGAUGGAGCUAACUAGUGGCGGACGGGUGGAGUAACGCGUGGAUAACCUGCCUCACACUGGGGGAUAGCAGCUGGAAACGGCUGGUAAUACCGCAUAAGACCACAGCACCGCAUGGUGCAGGGGGUAAAAAGAUUUUAUCGGUGUGAGAUGGAUCCGCGUCUGAUUAGCCAGUUGGCGGGUAACGGCCACCAAAGCGACGAUCAGUAGCCGGCCUGAGAGGGUGAACGGCCACAUUGGGGACUGAGACACGGCCCAAACUCCUACGGGAGGCAGCAGUGGGGAAUAUUGCACAAUGGGCGCAAGCCUGAUGCAGCAACGCCCGCGUGAGUGAAGAAGUAUCUCGGUAUGUAAAGCUCUAUCGGCAGGGAAGAAAGGCCCUUAACAGGGAGAUGACGGUACCUGACUAAGAAGCCCCGGCUAACUACGUGCCAGCCGCUGC